UUCAUCAGUCCACAGCAGCGAGUGGAAGUGAAAGACAGCCCUGGCGAGUCUUUUCUCCCUCUCGCUCUCUCUCUCUCUCUCUCUCUCUCUCUCUCUCUCUCUCUUUCUUUCUUUCUCUCUUUCUUUCUGUCUGUUUUUUUCCCCUUCUUCGUUACUCGCUGGAGCCUGCCUAUGAUUGUUUCCAGUUUCCUCAGAUUGUUUCUGGUUUAGCGAGUGUGCUGGGGCAGCCAGGCCGAGAGCCACAGACAUUUAGGAGAGCACGUAACUACCACUGCACUGUGGAAGGACUUUUGAUGGCAAUGCAAACUCAUGCCCUUGAUCCUGAUCCUCCCAUCUUUUGGAGGCUCACCAGUGCAACCAGCGGUUCAGCCGACAUUCAAACACCCCCCUUUGGUAUACGUCUAAAACAUCCUCAUGCAAAACAGCUGUGGGAACCUCAAUAAAUGAAAGCUAGAUUCUCAACCGCACCCGACUCAGUCCUAUUUAUUUAGUUCGUUUUUUUGUGGGGUAGGGGUAUUCGGAAGUGCUUUGGCCUACAGUCGUUGUAACCACGUAGCCUAUACGUAGCAAUAUGGGCCUACGCGACCAACGUUUUUCGAGGUUGGUUGUAAUGGUUUGACCAAUCGGUGUUAAGGAGAGUAAGGCCGUCCGCAAACCUAUUGUACGUUCAAUGGUAAAAAGGUUGAGUACUGAUACUUAGGCUACACUGUACAUGUCCUCUUUAUCUAAAAUACAAGAGGCUAUUGGAAUCACCUAAAUGCAGUAUGAAUUUCCUGUUCAAGCAGCAUCCCUUAAGCAUCUAGACUACCUUCUCUCGAAACUAAAAAAGUUGCACAAAGGAUCACAAUGUUACAAUUCAAUAUAAUUCGAACCUUUAAGCACAUGUAUACUUUGUUACAGUCAACUUUGUAUGCAGUGUAGUCAUACAUUAUAAUAGAAACUUAAUAGAAAGUGGGGCGUCGAGGUCAACUCCACUAAACGUUCUUGAUUGUAUUAUACUGCAUACGUAAUUCUAAUUGUAUGAUGAGUGCAAUACAAAAUAUGUUUUUCUCUUUUAGUGCAGAUAACCUUCAGGCCUAUUUGAGCAACUUGUAUUUCUCGUCUUAGUUGUUAUAAGACUCUACUAAACAGCCCCAUUGGGUUGAACUGAUAUAGUGCACAUAUUUCUUGAAUAUCUCUAUUAAUAGUAUUCUGUUCACCUACAUUUAAGAACAGAAACAUCCGGAUUUGUGAUCAUGUUUUAUUUAUCGCUUGCCUCAUAAAACGUUAGAAGGAAUCUUGCGUUUCCCAAAAGCGUUUUAUAUGCAAUUUUACACUUUUCAUCAAUUUCAUUUAAUGCAAUCCUGAAAAGCAAAAUCAACUAAAUGAUGCAUUUGUACAAAAGUUUUGCAUAAGAACAUGUAAGAAUGAUGCAUGUUGUUUUAGGGUUAUACUGCAGACUAAUGUUAACGUUGUAAAAUUGUUUUAUAACGUUUGAUAUGGAGCAUCCUGAGCUUGAUAGAGGUCAUACCAAAAUAAUCACCUAUUUCACAUACAUAAAAUGUAAAACAUGUAUCACUUAGAAGCACUUUAAGCCUUUGUGUCUAUGAAUACUGACCAAUCGGAGAUUAACAAUCAGCGCACGAUGUGACCCACAGAGAAAAAAAAAAUCAUUUAUCGAUAUUUAAAAAAAACGAAUCACGAAUCAGUAUUUUCUUUUAGUUUUAACUAUUUCUCUGGAAGGACCAGAAACCACAUUCGCUAUUUUAAAAGGCUUGACAGCGACAUGGACAUGAAUAUUUAAAGUAGACAUUUCUCGAGAUUAUAUUUCUCGCCCCGUUAAUCAGAAGCUCUGGUCAACCGAACCUUUCGUCUCCCCGCGCAACACAAAACCAGCAGAAUUUUUAACAUGGGCAGAGGAUGGAAUUCUCUCGUCGCACUUAUUCUGAAGAUAGCGUCACUCCGUAAGCAUAACCCAUCACCUGUUGUUAAGGGACAUCGUGAUUGUUCUUUUGCAUGUGAAUUCUUAGCCCCAAGUGUAAUUGGUAAAUAUUCAACAGUUGUCUUGUCCUGAGUUUAGACAUUAAAAUAAACUUUUCUGGUGAUAAAAAAUCAAAAUAAACUUUUCUGUCGUUAAUAUCCUACGUGGCUGUUUAAAGCCUGCAUUUUUAAUAAUGUAAAUCAUAUGUAGUCAUGUAUCAGCAGUCCUGUAUCAUAAUAGCAUGCACACACACUUCCACACUAUGCUUUGUGCCAAGACGAGGAACACGGAUAAUUCUGCAAUUGAACUUUAGCAGAACAUCAGAGGCAAACGGCUAGUAGUUAGAUUGCUGUGGGACUUGUAGCUUGCUUGGCAGUGUUACACUUUGAAGCCUCCCUUUGACAAAGCUUCAGUAGUUGCCACAGACAUUCAUUAACCGUUCCACACUACAUGGGUCUAAUGAAUAGCUGGAAUUGAUCAGGGAGCCUCAGUCAGAUUCCUACCAGGGGAGCUGUAGACAAAUCCCCCUCAAUGCACAAAAAAACAGAGAAAGAAAAUGCUAGAAGGUCGGCACAGGUAAGAUUACACUGACCACAGCGACAUGGGGCGAUGGGAGAAAGAGCAGCGUGAGCAGCCUGGGAGACCCCUUCCUCCAGCUUUCACCCACCCCUCCUGUC
Clupea harengus (Atlantic herring) is the source of this 2637-nucleotide long non-coding RNA. NCBI's taxonomy places the organism in Eukaryota, Metazoa, Chordata, Actinopteri, Clupeiformes, Clupeidae. The record is from Ensembl.